Molecule: long non-coding RNA, 1563 nt
Organism: Lolium rigidum
Lineage: Eukaryota; Viridiplantae; Streptophyta; Magnoliopsida; Poales; Poaceae
Exons: 3
Source: RefSeq, a predicted model, not a curated record
CAUUGCGUACCAAGCACUCGUCUCAUCUCCAUCUACCCUCGAGCGCCGCCUCCACCCCUCGCCAUCACCUCCUCUCCCGGCUCCAGAUCGGCGAUCACCCCAGCGGUGCCCCUCCUCCCCUCCACUGGCUUCUCCCACCUCUCGCCCCUCAGCCUCUCCUCGGCCCCCAUCUCUCCUUGCGGGAUUUCUCUCGUCCGCCCGACCCGAUCUAGAUCGAUGGAGGCGCCAUCGCCCUUGUGCCAACGCCGACGCUGCCGUUCGGUCGCUGACACCGAUGUAUUUCGCCUCUUCCUCGAUCUGUCUAGUUCAUGGUGUGAAGAGCCUGCCGUGAGGGUGGUAUUCAUCGUCGUCAACAACGGCAGCUGCGGCUUCAGAAGGGCUUUGCGAUGCUAGGAUUCCCCUUAUUUCUAUAAUUUGGGGAAUGGAUUGCUACUAUAAGGUUGGCUGAACUAAUGGAUCGGUUGAACUAGAAGUAGAUAAAGAUUAGUUACUUUCUUGUCCCUGAACUUGUUGGAAUCUACCGAUUAGUGUAAUAUGCAUCAGUUUGUACUGUAAGGACACUAGUUUCUGUGGCAUAGAAGUCAAUGUAUGCAAACCACAGGCUAUUAAGAAAUAGCUAGGCCUCACUAGUUCAUUAUCUAGCACCUACCGUGAGUCUUAUGCUCGUGCUGGAGCAAGUUUCUCCUGCUUAUGCUUGUUCUAAUUCAGUAGUUCUGACGCAUAUCAGUUGUGGUGAUCUGGUGUGAUUUUGCCCACACUUGCUGCUGCUAGUUAAAUAAAUAAACUUUACACAUGAGUGAGUUGCAAGUUUAUUUCUGCUUAUCACAUUAGCUGAGAGCCUAUUCUCUGGGUUGAUAACAGAAGGGUCUCCCCUUGAACAAAGUCCGAGUCUUCCCCGACAACCAUACCGAGCUGCUGCUCCUAGAAACGUCCUCAGAUCCUCAGAGCUGCUGCCAGGCUGCCACUGGCCACAACCCCAAAUUGCUUCUCCUGUCGUUGGCGAUGUCCCUAACCUGCGGCUGUUGUCUUCGACUGUGACAUGCUGUUGCUGGUGAGGCCCCUCUUCACAUGAAGGAAGCGAUGCUGUGAGGCCCCUCUAACGUGCCAGUAAUCAGAAGAUUGUAUUCCUGAAUUCAAUUUUAUUUAUAUGUGCUUGAGUUUCUGGUAUGUAAUGAUCUCAAUCCACUACUAAACUAUCUACUUAUUUUGGUACGAUCAGUUUAUAUUUCAGUGGUUCAAUUAUUGGGCUAGCUAGAAAUCAAUACACAUGUAUUUACAAAUCCAGCAAUCACAAGUACAGGAGCAACUAACGUGCAUGCUGGCAGGCAACAUGGUCCGUGUGGGCUUUGUCGAUGGCGGCUGCCGCUAGUGCUGCCUUGAAGUCCAGUACUAAUGUGAGAGUUGCCCCUGCAAGGUCUGCAAUGAGCAUAUGCAGAUUUUGCCACAACUUGCUUCUAAUUACAUGUGCACUGACAAGGCAGAGACAACAGCGCAGGUGGCGGUAGCACGAGAUGGCACAUCAAGAAGCCAGAAGCGGGUGCCCAUCAGUCGCAAAAAAUAACG